RNAcentral lists this ribosomal RNA (239 nucleotides) under uncultured bacterium. Its description in RNAcentral is "partial 16S ribosomal RNA". It matches the Rfam family "Bacterial small subunit ribosomal RNA", at positions 524 to 763 of the family's 1533-position model. The record is from RNAcentral.
UACGUAGGGGGCAAGCGUUGUCCGGAAUCAUUGGGCGUAAAGAGCGUGUAGGCGGUUCGGUAAGUCUGCUGUGAAAGUCCAGGGCUCAACCCUGGGAUGCCGGUGGAUACUGUCGAGCUCGAGUCCGGAAGAGGCGAGUGGAAUCUUGGUGUAGCGGUGAAAUGCGCAGAUAUCAGGAGGAACACCAAUGGCGAAGGCAGCUCACUGGACCGGAACUGACGCUGAGGCGCGAAAGCGUG